AAGUGCCUUUCACCACCCGCCAUGAUUCUGAGGCCUCCUCAACCAUGUGGAACUGGCCUCAGCAGAAGAAUGUCCUCCCCUCCAUCUGGAAGGCUCCUGAAUCUAGGGAAGCUCUGUAGCCUCUCUGACCCCAACCCUUUCAAAGCCUCUAACGGCAGGGUACCAAGUGGGGAGCCAAGUUGACAGCUGAAGAAGAGCAAAUGGACACACCCUGAAAAUUCAGCUUGGGGUCCACUAUCACAGGACUUGGCUGUUCUUGCUGUGCGCCAGGAAGCCAGCCUUGGUCCCCUCUUCCUGGGCAGCAGUGGAGCCACUGGAUCCAAGACAUAGGUUCCAUCUCCCAUCUUCCUCUCCCCUUAAAGGCCCUUGGGUUGGAAUGACAUCAAGAAGAUGCUGACAUCUUAGGACAGAGAGAUGAAGUGGAACAGGCAAAGAUGGGGUAGAGUCACCUGAAUGGGGGAAUAAAGACAUUUAACUCUUCAACACAGGCACUGCACUAAAGGCUGGGGAUGUGAGAUGAAGGAGACCUGCUCCCUGACCUCACAGACCAGCAAAGAGAGAGACAGCUACAAGAACACAGAGGUCAGACUCAAAGGAGGGCAGGAAUCAUUCUGUGAGGGUAGAAAGCCAAGGAAGGUUUCUCAAGGAGAAUGAGGAGGUCCAUUAUUACAUAAUCACCAGGCAAACCAAGGGUAGCCCCAUUUGCUCUCCUGGCAGCUGAGCCCUCUCCAGGAAUUGCUUUUAGUCCAAGAGAGCUGCCUCACCCACUGACAUGGCCCCUUCCUGGAGGCAGCCCACAUCAAUAACUGGUCAAGAGGUAGAAGGUUAUAAACAUCCAGUUCCCUUGACUCAAGGCAGGACAACUGUGAAGGGUGUCUCAAUUCAAGAGCAACAUGGGGCCAACUAGGUGAUGCCUCUGCCACAACUGCCCAGCAGUCCAAUUUUCCCCUUGCUUAAUCUUGUUUGCCUAAUUCCUUCAAAGUUGUCCAUCCCACGAGCACUUGCCAGUGAACUACCUGUUCACAAAUUUCCAUCUCCAAGUCCAUUUCCCGUAUUUCCACCAUCUCAGCCAGGCACAAGGCACAGGCCAGAGGUUUUCAAGAACAGCAUCUCAGAAGGACACAAAUCGGACAUGUAAGUUACCUACAUUUUAAACAAGCAAAGCACUGAUUAUUUGUCAAAGAUGCAAGCUUUCUCCCAGAGCCCUCUGAAAGUUGUGUGAGUCCCUGAAGAAUCUACCUGGAAAAUUCCAUUGCCCCGAGGAGCUUUCUCAAAAUGUAUUCCUGCCACCUGCUUCCCUGCGUAUAAUCCUCGCUCUCCACAAGUCUGUUUAUCCAUAGACACAAAAUGUUAGAGCUGUCACCAGGAAUACAAAUGGGGAGAAAGCCACCCUCAAGCCAAUCAAUAAUGCUGGAGACGAAGCAACUGCAGCACUCUGCGGGUCAUAGAUUAUGAAGCACAAAGAAAGGAAACUCAACUCCUAGCAUUGUAUUGUAGCUGAUGGUCAGUAAGGAAAGCUCAUGUUCCAAUCUGAUUCUAUUUUAGCCACUUGGCAGAAAAUCAUCACUGAGGCACAAAUGAGAUGGCCUUGAAGGUGAAUAAAAAUCUUGGGUUCACUUUCCAAGACUUCAACAUCACAGAACUUUUCAGGAGCUCUGCCUCUCUGCAAGGCUUGCACGUCUAUUUACAAAGGCAAAAGCUUCUGUAAAGUACCUGGGUUACCAAAGCAGGCUGGGAGCUGAUAAUCCAAUUUGUUUUCCCUUCAAUAAAUCGUUCAUUAAUGUUGCUAAGAAAUUUACAGCUUAAAAUGGUUUUAUGACUAGAGAUUAAAAAAGAACCGUUCCAAUAAAUUUCAUAUAACUGAG
This 1865-nucleotide long non-coding RNA is filed under the name Homo sapiens (human). RNAcentral's name for it is "HSALNT0021206". The record is from RNAcentral. Lineage: Eukaryota; Metazoa; Chordata; Mammalia; Primates; Hominidae.